UCUCACCAGCCCCCGAUCAGUCAGAAUCUUAAGACAGUGCCACACACUGGUGGCUUAAACAGCAGAUAUCUGUAUAUUACUCUUCUGGAGGUUGGUGAUGUCACCUAGCUUAUGGACAGUGUCUUUUUGCUGAGCUUACAUGUUGGUCACGGGACACAGCUUUCUGGGAUCUUGGAUAUGGAUCUAAUGCCACCACAGGGGUUCCCCUGGUGACCCCAGCUCUGAGCACCAUUACUUUAGAAAGUAGAAUUUCAACACACUAAUUUUAUGGGAACUAUAAACAUUUAGCUGCUGUAAUGGCAGGUCUGGGGUUUGGUCCUCAACCGAGAAUUUCCAGCACUGCUGGAAAAACUCUGGCUGCUGGUUCCAAACUCACACUCUGGGACCACUGCUUUAUCUUAUUUCACUUUUAAGAUAGGGUUGAUUAUGGCCGGCAGUGGUCUCAAACUCGUUAUGUAGCCAAUAAUGACCUUGAACUUCUGAGUUUCCUACCGCUACUUCCCAAGGGUUAGGAUUACAGUGUGUGCCACUACACCCGGGCUUUGUGCACACUAGGCAAGCACUCUCACAACUGAGAUGGAUCCGCAGACCCCGCUGCUCUGUUGUAAUGGGUGAAAGGUGCAGGUAUGUGAGGAAGGGUUGCCUUUCACGGUAGCAGAGGCAACCAAAGUAAUAUACGGACAUGCACCAGUGCCUCCUUGAGGAUGGCCUUCUGUCCUUGUCAAAUCAGGUCAGUGGCUUCUAGGCCAGUAUUCAGGACAGAGGUGUUAUUUAAUAAUAAUAACAAUAAUAAUAAUAAAUAACAACAACACGUUCCUAACAUUUAAAGGCUAGGAACUGUUGUCCAGCUAAUUAAGGUCAAAGUCUACCAUUGUCCAGAUAACCUUCUGGGCUCAGAGCAAAAUGGAGGGCUUCCUUUAUUAGCAGGGCUUCCCAUUCUCUGACCUUAACCCCCACACACCUCUACCUGCAGAGUGUCAGCCUUGAUUAACAUUACAGGGUCAACUCCUUUUCUCCCAGUAAGGACCCGUUCAGCUAACCCAUGAGAUUCCUAGGCUGUCUCUCCAUGCUAGCGAGGCAUCUCUGUACCGCAAGCCUUCAGCCUUUGCCCACCCAGGGUAUUCCUGCCUCCAAAACUAUGCAAUCCUUGAAUCACUCCAGGUAAAGUUGACCCAUCUUCCCGAAGCUGGCCCUGGUCACUGUCAUAUGUACUCACAGGGCUUCGGAACCCCCUGUAUGUCUCCUCUGCUCUAUUUGGCCUCCUGGAUCAAUGUCAGCCAGUGGUGCCCAGGGGCAGGGUGGGUCACAGGAACCAUAAGUAGUGGGUAUGUGCACUAUUUAGUAGAACUUUUUUUUUUUUAACUCUUUCUUGUUUUUCUCAAGAGAAAAAAAAAAGGCAAUUAAUUUGAUAACACCACAGCGUUUACAGUCUAGCAGAGCCAAACACUGCUCAUUGGUUGACAGCUAAGGACCAGUAAGUGUCUGGGUCCUGGAAGGGUAUGCCUUAACUCUAGAGCGGUCUAAGAUUUCGGCUCUGUUCAUUUCCUCUGGUUUCUUCUCUUCCUUCUGCCCUCCGUUUCUUCUUCCUUUGUUGGUUGUUGUGGGAUUUCUUUCCUGCCUAAGAUUGGUCUGCUUGGGAUGUCUGCUUCUAUUUGAAUGAAUUUUGAUAUUUUGCAUUUUUCUGCAGAACCGUUCAUUGUGAGGGGCUGGGAGAUGGUUCAGUGGGCGAGUACUGGCUGAGUACCUCCUGAGUUUGGGUGCUGGGGAAAAUCCAUGUAAGCUGAGCAUGGCUGUCUUCCUCUACUGCUCUGACAUAGGAUCUCUCACUGGACCUGUAGCUCACCAGUGGGCUAAACUGGCUGGCCUUAGAGCCCUUGAACCCUCCUGACUCUGCCUUCCAGCCAUGGGGAGAGCACUUACAACUCUAAUUUUAUACGUGGGGAUAAACUCAAGUCCUGGUGCUUGUUGUGGCAAGCUCUCUUUACACACUGAGCCAUCUCUCCAGCCCACAAAUGAUUCCUUUUGUAAGAAUUGUACUUUGUGGGUAAUAGCACAGACUGCUCUUCCAAAGGUCCUGAGUUCAAAUCCCAGCAACCACAUGGUGGCUCACAACCACCCGUAAUGAGAUCUGAUGCCCUCUUCUGGUGUGUCAGAAGACAGCUACAGUGUAUUUAUGUAUAAUGAUAAAUAAAUCUUUGGGACUGAACAAGUGGAGUUGACCAGAGUGAGUGGGGCCAACUGGAGCAAGCAGAGGUCCUAAAAAUUCAAUUCCCAGCAACCACAUGAGGGCUCACAACCAUCUGUACAGCUACAGUGUACUCACAUACAUAAAAUAAAUAAAUCUUUUUUAAAAAAUGACGCUUUCUUAUAUGUGUACACGCCACUGCAUUUUCGCAAUCUCAGCUUAGAGUAUUGUCCUUUUUUUUUCUUGAUUAGGCUAGCAGAUAUGUAUAUAUGUACACACACACACACACACACACACACACACACAUAUUCACCAUUGCUGUUCUUUUGCUUUGUUUGGUUUCCAGGGAUCCAUCCCUUCCCUCCUACACCUCACCCCCUCUUCCCUUCCUUUCUUCUGCCUCACUGAGUAACACUGGCCGGGAACUCACUCUGUAGACCAGGCUGGCCUUGAAGUCAGAGAUCCUUCUGCCUCUGCCUCCCAGAUGCUGCGAUGGAUGGCGUGUGCCACCACUGUCCAGCUUAGAUUAUUUAAGAUAUCCAAAAACAUUGUAAAUGCCAUGCAACAGUUAUUCUACUGUAAUGUUUAGAGAAUGGUGGUGACGAAUCAGGAUACGGUCAGCACCACGGCAUCCCCCAAAUCUUGUCAAUUAUAGUUGGAUGCACAGAUGCAGAACACACGGGUAUAGGUAUGACUGACUAGAGUGUUAGUUCUGCCUUUCUGUUUUCCUUAGACUUUAAAACUUUUUUUGAGUUGAAUAAUUUUCUUCAGGUUCAUUCUUCUUAAAUAAUUUUUAAGUUAGUAUUAUUUAUUUACUUGUUCCUGUGUUUGUUGAUUUGUGUUGUUCCGUGGGGCACACGUGGAGGUCAGAGAACAGUUAUGGGAACCUUAUAGGAGUCAGUUCUUUCUUUUUAACUGUGUGACUCCUGGGAACUGAACUGAAAGGUUGGCAGGGUGGGCCUUUACCUGAGCCGUCUUGGCAGCCCAACAAAUGAUUUUGAGAGUUUGGGUUUUCCUUUUAAGACAGACAGACAG
This 3220-nucleotide long non-coding RNA is filed under the name Mus musculus (house mouse). RNAcentral's name for it is "long non-coding RNA chr3:51579403-51582623". Lineage: Eukaryota; Metazoa; Chordata; Mammalia; Rodentia; Muridae. The record is from RNAcentral.